GACAAUGGGCGCAAGCCUGAUCCAGCCAUGCCGCGUGUGUGAUGAAGGCCUUAGGGUCGUAAAGCACUUUCGCCAGAGAUGAUAAUGACAGUAUCUGGUAAAGAAACCCCGGCUAACUCCGUGCCAGCAGCCGCGGUAAUACGGAGGGGGUUAGCGUUGUUCGGAAUUACUGGGCGUAAAGCGCACGUAGGCGGAUUAGUCAGUCAGAGGUGAAAUCCCAGGGCUCAACCCUGGAACUGCCUUUGAUACUGCUAGUCUUGAGUUCGAGAGAGGUGAGUGGAAUUCCGAGUGUAGAGGUGAAAUUCGUAGAUAUUCGGAGGAACACCAGUGGCGAAGGCGGUUCACUGGCUUCAUACUGACGCUUAAGUGCGAAAGUGUGGGGAGCAAACAGGAUUAGAUACCCUGGUAGUUCACACCCGUAAACAUGAAUGCCAGUCGUCGGGUAGUAUACUAUUUGGUGACACACCUAACGGAUUAAGCAUUCCGCCUGGGGAGUACGGUCCCAAGAUUAAAACUCAAAGGAAUUGCCGGGCCCCCCCAAGCGGU
RNAcentral lists this ribosomal RNA (546 nucleotides) under uncultured bacterium. RNAcentral describes it as "bacterial SSU rRNA". It matches the Rfam family "Bacterial small subunit ribosomal RNA", at positions 367 to 933 of the family's 1533-position model. The record is from RNAcentral.